This is a non-coding RNA of Schistosoma haematobium, 48 nucleotides long. Lineage: Eukaryota; Metazoa; Platyhelminthes; Trematoda; Strigeidida; Schistosomatidae. The record is from Rfam.
AUCCAACUGACGAGUCUCAAGUAGGACGAAACGCGUGUUGUCCUGGAU